Long non-coding RNA from Papaver somniferum (opium poppy), 2098 nucleotides. RefSeq lists it as uncharacterized. The record is from RefSeq and is a predicted model, not a curated record. The transcript has 4 exons. NCBI's taxonomy places the organism in Eukaryota, Viridiplantae, Streptophyta, Magnoliopsida, Ranunculales, Papaveraceae.
AAGAAAUACAAAGACAAGGUCAGUUCAUCUCACCACCACCACCACUUUGCCCACUGCCUUCAGAAGGUAUGGAAUCUUAUUUACUCUAUUUUGAUUUAGUCUGUUAAAGUUUGUUUCAUGAAUUUGGAAGGGGUGGGUUGUGUGAAUCAUUUGAAUUCUAUCUGUUCUUGUAUGUUGUUUGUGUGUGUUCUUGGGGAUGCUGUGGUUUUAUGAUUCAGAAAAUUACCAUAAGUUCUAUCGAUUAGCUGGAGGCUGUUAAAUGAUUGAUUGUGAUAUUGUAGAGAGAUGAAAGGAUGAGUGGAAAGACGAAAAAGAUGUUGCAGAACAAGGAGAAAAGUAAUGGUGAUGAUAAUAAUCAGAAAGAACUUGUUCCAAAGACUAGUAGUGUUAUUAGUAUAAUUGACGAAAAUAUGUUAUUAUAUGAUAUACUGAACAGAAUCCCUGCCAAGUCACUUAUGCAGUUCAAGUGCGUAUCUAAACCUUGGCGUUCAUUAAUCCGAGAUCCCUGCUUUGUCGAUUUGCAUUUUAAUAGAUCAAAAACACUCCAACGUUUUUUCUUCACCAUUCCACAAGUUAGAAGUGGGACGGAAAAGAAACUUGGGGGAUCUAUUACCAAGAUUAUCGAGCGUAUUUCAAGACCACUGGCUUAUUGUCUAAAGAAAGCGGUAGAGUAGCGUCAACUAUUCCCACCGUAAGGAGGUUGAGGUCGGCUCACUGUAGUGAAAUUAUUGGAGGCCUUAAUACUUUGAUUUGUUUUGUUUACAGCCAGGAUGAUGCUGCUUGCAUAUAUAAUAUUAGCACCGGAGAAACAACCCAGGCUAGCAAAUGGAAAACUUGUUAUAUUGGUUCUCCUACCUAUAGUUUUGGAUACGAUCCUGCCACUAAGAAACACAAAGUCAUGUGCAUGUGGAAUAUGUCACGGAAACAGGGUGAUGAGACCAUAGUUGAUGGCCCAAUUUUUGAGGUCUUGACUUAGGCCAAAGCUCAUGGAGAAAGAUCGAAGCUGCGCCUCCUCAUCAUUUUUAUCGCACUGUAAGUUCCGUAUAUGCGAAUGGAUCUGUUUAUUGGUUCCCAGGUAUAUUUGAGUGUGGAGAUUGGAACAAUGGUAAUGAUGUAUUUAUGGUGGCAUUUGAUGUUGGAAGUGAGAAGUUCAGAACGAUUCAGAUUUUUAAGUUCAGAUCUGUUGAUAGGCCUGCUGACCCCAUCCUAAUUUCAACCGUUGUUAUUUAUUAGAAGUGAAUGGACGUGUUGCUAUAUUCCGUAGAUUUACCGCUGACACUGCCAAGCUAUGGAUAUAUGAAGAGGAUGACAAAGGGAGUACUUAUAAAGCUACAACUAUGGAUUUCACUGACAGGAAUUGGACUGAGAAUACUAUCACGUUACCUGUUCGUUGGGACUAGUGGAAGAAGAGUUGGAGAAGUCAUCUUAUUUAAAAGAUCAUCAGAAGGUUUCUUCUCUGCACUUAUCCCUAUAAAACUAUAUUUGCAGCCUUCAAUCAAAGAGAGCUUUUGAUAUGAUAUAUAAAUUUAUAAUAUUUCUAGAGUGAGAUUUAUUGGCAGACGUAGUCUUUUUUGUUUAUCAUGUAGAUCAAGGCAAAACGUACCUGGAUGCAAAUGGUUGCUGCAGAUUGGUUAAGAUCUGACAAACGAGAAGAUAAUCUUGGGAUGGGAGCAUUGUUCAGAAAUAGGGUGCAUCAUCUCCUGUAAAUGAAGAAAAUCUUUUAUUGUUGAUCUUCAUCAAUGGAAAUGACGCAUAUAGGAAUUCGAGGGGUCAUGGAUAGUAAAGCAAAGUGCUGGAAAGAAUUACUUAGAGGACACUACACCAUUUUUUCCGAUCCGAAAACGUUACGAAUCGGAGUUGUAAUGGUUCAUGACCGUUACGAAAAGGGGUGCCACAAAUUUUUCGCGACGGCCCAGCAGCCAUUACGAAGUUCUUUCGUAACGGCUCUUGUAACAGCUGCGAGCCGUUACUACGUGGCAUGGUCGUAACGAGCAGUCAAAACAUACUGAUGAAAUUACACAAAAAUAUCAAUUGUAGCUGUCAUAAUUUCACUCUCUGAAUACCAACAUACUACAUGAAUAAUGAGAUAUACUUACAA